GGACUACCAGGGUAUCUAAUCCUGUUUGCUCCCCACGCUUUCGCGCCUCAGCGUCAGUAUCGGUCCAGAGCGCCGCCUUCGCCACCGGUGUUCUUCCCAAUAUCUACGAAUUUCACCUCUACACUGGGAAUUCCACGCUCCUCUCCCGAACUCCAGCCACCCAGUCCCAAGCGCCGUUCCCGGGUUGAGCCCGGGGCUUUCACGCCUGACUUGAAUGGCCGCCUACGCGCCCUUUACGCCCAGUAAUUCCGAACAACGCUCGCCCCCUUCGUAUUACCGCGGCGGCUGGCAC
This 292-nucleotide ribosomal RNA is filed under the name uncultured Alphaproteobacteria bacterium. Its description in RNAcentral is "partial 16S ribosomal RNA". Lineage: Bacteria; Pseudomonadati; Pseudomonadota; Alphaproteobacteria. The record is from RNAcentral.